AUUGAACGCUGGCGGCAUGCCCUACACAUGCAAGUCGAACGGCAGCAUGAUCUAGCUUGCUAGAUUGAUGGCGGGUGGCGAACGGGUGAGUCAUACAUCGGAACGUGCCCUGUAGUGGGGGAUAACUAGUCGAAAGAUUAACUAAUACCGCAUACGACCUGAGGGGGAAAGGGGGGGGGCGCAAGGCCUCAUGCUAUAGGAGCGGCCGAUGUCUGAUUAGCUAGUUGGUGAGGUAAAGGCUCACCAAGGCGACGAUCAGUAGCUGGUCUGAGAGGACGAUCAGCCACACUGGGACUGAGACACGGCCCAGACUCCUACGGGAGGCAGCAGUGGGGAAUUUUGGACAAUGGGCGAAAGCCUGAUCCAGCAAUGCCGCGUGUGUGAAGAAGGCCUUCGGGUUGUAAAGCACUUUUGUCCGGAAAGAAAUGGCUCUGGUUAAUACCUGGGGUCGAUGACGGUACCGGAAGAAUAAGGACCGGCUAACUACGUG
This 490-nucleotide ribosomal RNA is filed under the name uncultured bacterium. Its description in RNAcentral is "partial 16S ribosomal RNA". It matches the Rfam family "Bacterial small subunit ribosomal RNA", at positions 30 to 507 of the family's 1533-position model. The record is from RNAcentral.